UGGGGAAUUUUGGACAAUGGGGGCAACCUGAUCCAGCCAUCCCGCGUGUGCGAUGAAGGCCUUCGGGUUGUAAAGCACUUUUGGCAGGGAAGAAACAGCCUGGGAUAAUACCCCGGGCGACUGACGGUACCUGCAGAAUAAGCACCGGCUAACUACGUGCCAGCAGCCGCGGUAAUACGUAGGGUGCAAGCGUUAAUCGGAAUUACUGGGCGUAAAGCGUGCGCAGGCGGUUUCGGAAAGAAAGGUGUGAAAUCCCAGGGCUUAACCUUGGAACUGCACUUUUAACUACCGAGCUAGAGUACGUCAGAGGGGGGUAGAAUUCCACGUGUAGCAGUGAAUGCGUAGAGAUGUGGAGGAAUACCGAUGGCGAAGGCAGCCCCUGGGAUGAUACUGACGCUCAUGCACGAAAGCGUGGGGAGCAAACAGGAUUAGAUACCC
RNAcentral lists this ribosomal RNA (438 nucleotides) under uncultured bacterium. RNAcentral's name for it is "partial 16S ribosomal RNA". It matches the Rfam family "Bacterial small subunit ribosomal RNA", at positions 355 to 787 of the family's 1533-position model. The record is from RNAcentral.